RNAcentral lists this ribosomal RNA (460 nucleotides) under uncultured bacterium. Its description in RNAcentral is "partial 16S ribosomal RNA". It matches the Rfam family "Bacterial small subunit ribosomal RNA", at positions 338 to 795 of the family's 1533-position model. The record is from RNAcentral.
CCUACGGGAGGCAGCAGUGAGGAAUAUUGGUCAAUGGGCGCGAGCCUGAACCAGCCAAGUCGCGUGAAGGAUGACUGCCCUACGGGUUGUAAACUUCUUUUAUAAAGGAAUAAAGUGAGGCACGUGUACCUUUUUGUAUGUACUUUAUGAAUAAGCAUCGGCUAACUCCGUGCCAGCAGCCGCGGUAAUACGGAGGAUCCGAGCGUUCUCCGGAUUUAUUGGGUUUAAAGGGAGCGUAGAUGGGUUGUUAAGUCAGUUGUGAAAGUUUGCGGCUCAACCGUAACAUGGCAAUUGAUACUGGCAGGCUUGAGUACAGGUGAGGUAGGCGGAAUUCGUGGUGUAGCGGUGAAAUGCUUAGAUAUCACGAAGAACUCCGAUUGCGAAGGCAGCUUACUAAACUGCAACUGACACUGAGGCUCGAAAGUGUGGGUAUCAAACAGGAUUAGAUACCCCUGUAGUC